GGAAAGAACGGCAAAAAGGAGAUGGAGGAUAAAGAAGUUGUCAAAGAGUUCUUGUGUUACAAGUGCCAAUUGAAGAUAAAAUAUGAUUAUUUUGGAACAAAACCUCCAUUUGCUAAGUCAUUCAUGUAAGUAAGUUUACUAGAGGACACCUAUGUUAUGAAAGAUCCAUUUUCAACUGAACUGGGUAUGAUUAGUCAAGGAUCUCACUGCAGCCAGUGUCAGAAGUCUGUCUGCUCUUCUGGGGAGUGCAGUAUUUUCUACACUA
Long non-coding RNA from Ruditapes philippinarum (Manila clam), 265 nucleotides. RefSeq lists it as uncharacterized. Lineage: Eukaryota; Metazoa; Mollusca; Bivalvia; Venerida; Veneridae. The transcript has 3 exons. The record is from RefSeq and is a predicted model, not a curated record.